RNAcentral lists this ribosomal RNA (497 nucleotides) under uncultured bacterium. RNAcentral describes it as "partial 16S ribosomal RNA". It matches the Rfam family "Bacterial small subunit ribosomal RNA", at positions 28 to 507 of the family's 1533-position model. The record is from RNAcentral.
GAUGAACGCUGGCGGCGUGCCUAAUACAUGCAAGUCGAGCGAACAGACGAGGCGCUUGCUCCUCUGACGUUAGCGGCGGACGGGUGAGUAACACGUGGAUAACCUACCUAUAAGACUGGGAUAACUUCGGGAAACCGGAGCUAAUACCGGAUAAUAUAUUGAACCGCAUGGUUCAAUAGUGAAAGACGGUUUUGCUGUCACUUAUAGAUGGAUCCGCGCCGCAUUAGCUAGUUGGUAAGGUAACGGCUUACCAAGGCAACGAUGCCUAGCCGACCUGAGAGGGUGAUCGGCCACACUGGAACUGAGGCACGGUCCAGACUCCUACGGGAGGCAGCAGUAGGGAAUCUUCCGCAAUGGGCGAAAGCCUGACGGAGCAACGCCGCGUGAGUGAUGAAGGUCUUCGGAUCGUAAAACUCUGUUAUGAGGGAAGAACAAAUGUGUAAGUAACUAUGCACGUCUUGACGGUACCUAAUCAGAAAGCCACGGCUAACUACGUG